GUGGGGAAUCUUCCGCAAUGGACGAAAGUCUGACGGAGCAACGCCGCGUGAGUGAAGAAGGUUUUCGGAUCGUAAAGCUCUGUUGUUUGAGACGAAUGUGUAUAUUAUUAAUACGGAUAUACAAUGACGGUAUUAAACGAGAAAGCCACGGCUAACUACGUGCCAGCAGCCGCGGUAAUACGUAGGGUGCAAGCGUUAAUCGGAAUUACUGGGCGUAAAGCGUGCGCAGGCCGCUUUGUAAGUCGGACGUGAAAGCCCUCGGCUAAACCGGGGAACGGGGUUCGAUACUGCGAGGCUUGAGUCCUGGAGAGGGUGGCGGAAGUCCGGGUGUAGGAGUGAAAUCCGUAGAUAUCCGGAGGAACACCGGUGGCGAAGGCGGCCACCUGGACAGGUACUGACGCUGAGGCGCGAAAGCGUGGGGAGCAAACAGGAUUAGAAACCCCAGUAGUCC
Molecule: ribosomal RNA, 451 nt
Filed under: uncultured bacterium
Lineage: Bacteria
Description: partial 16S ribosomal RNA
Rfam family: Bacterial small subunit ribosomal RNA
Source: RNAcentral